AUGGUAGCUUUGGCUGUGGAUGGGGCAGUUUCCAGAGAUGGUAGCUUUGGCUCUUUCAGUGCUGUAUGCAGAAGCUCUUCGGGAUCUUUUUUGGGAGCCUCGGCCAUCAAGAUCGAAGGCAUUUCAGAUCCAGCGACUUUGGAAGCCUUGGCCUGUCGCGAGGCACUUGAUCUUGCUAUGGAUCUUGAUCUUGCUAAAAUCCUCAUAGCAAGUGACUGCCAAGAGGUGGUGAAUGACAUAAAAAACUGCACUGGUGGCGUCUAUGCUAGUACCAUUAGAGAGAUAGUGGAGUCAAAGAAUACUUUUGAUGAUUGCUCCUUCAUCUUUGAGGGGAGGGCAACGGAUAUUGAGGCACAUAGUCUCGCUAAGCAUGCUUUUGGUUUGGAUUUCGGGCGCCAUGUAUGGCUUUUAAACCCUCCAAACAUCUCUUGUAUCCCUAUGAACAUUUUUGAGUAA
This 456-nucleotide ribosomal RNA is filed under the name Triticum aestivum (bread wheat). RNAcentral's name for it is "partial small subunit ribosomal RNA". The record is from RNAcentral. Lineage: Eukaryota; Viridiplantae; Streptophyta; Magnoliopsida; Poales; Poaceae.